GCCUCCGUAGCUCAGUUUGGAUAGAGCACUUGCCUCCUAAGCAAGGGGUCGCGCGUUCAAAUUCUGCAUUUCAUCACUUAGGUGAUGUCUGCAAAAGAAAUUCGCGUCGGGGGCA
This 115-nucleotide transfer RNA is filed under the name Candidatus Terrarchaeum hikurangii. RNAcentral's name for it is "tRNA-Arg". It matches the Rfam family "tRNA". Rfam says of the family: Transfer RNA (tRNA) molecules are approximately 80 nucleotides in length. Lineage: Archaea; Nanobdellati; Candidatus Terrarchaeota; Candidatus Terrarchaeia; Candidatus Terrarchaeales; Candidatus Terrarchaeaceae. RNAcentral also lists the same sequence under 1 other name. The record is from RNAcentral.